RNAcentral lists this ribosomal RNA (2439 nucleotides) under Candidatus Hodgkinia cicadicola. RNAcentral describes it as "bacterial LSU rRNA". It matches the Rfam family "Bacterial large subunit ribosomal RNA". Lineage: Bacteria; Pseudomonadati; Pseudomonadota; Alphaproteobacteria; Hyphomicrobiales. The record is from RNAcentral.
UAACGAUGAUAAUGCAUCCGGUGGAUGCCUAGGUGUGCCCCUCAAAGGGGUUAUGGGGGUUGAUAUAAACCAUAAUGGUUCGGUUUUUGCAGGUAGACACACCUGCACCGAACCUGAACACAGGGAACUGAAACAUCUUAGUACCUGUAGGAAAAUAUAUCCAGGAUAUUCCGUUAGUAGUGGGAACGAAGACGGAUCUUUGGCUGUUUAGAUAAAUAUAAGCAAGGUGUUGUUGCCUGGAAAGGCAAGCAUUGGUUGGUGAUAGCCCAACCACCUCUAAUUAAUUUAUCAAGAGAAAGUAAGACGAGGAACGAUAGACCUCGUCCGAAGAUAGGGGGACCACCCCCUAAGCCUAAAUAGGAGGGCACAACCGAUAGUGGACUAGUACCGUGAGGGAAAGGUGAAACAGAGACCCGAACAGGGCAGUGAAACAGAACCUGAAACCAGAUGCUAACAAUCAGUCGGAGGGUCCAAAGACCUGACGACGUACCUUUUGUAUAAUGGGUCAACGAGUUGUAGUUGCAAGCAAAGCUUGCGUCAAACAGCAAAGAGCGAAGCGAAAGCGAGUCCAAAGAGGGCAACAACAAGUUUGCAACAUCAAACCCGAAACCGAGUGAUCUAACCAUGGACAGAUUGAAGGCUGGCUAAGCUGGCUGGAGGAUCGAACCCGUGUGUGUUGCAAAACACUGGGAUGAUCUGUGGUUAGGGGUGAAAGGCCAAUCAAACUCGGAGAUAGCUGGUUCUCUGCGAAACCUAUUUAGGUAGGUCAUUAACCCAACCCCAAAGGGGGGUAGAGCACUGGAUGGAUGGUUAUAACACAUAGUUAUAUUUAAUCCAACCAAACUCCGAAUACCCUUCGGGCUAUGGUUAACAAUCACACCAUGGGCUCUAACGUCCAUGGUGAAGAGGGAAACAACCCAGACCUUGGAACAAGGUCCUUAAAUCUGAGCUAAGUGAGGAAAAUGAUGUCCAUUCCAUGUCGAUUAGGAUGUAGGCCCAGAAGCAGCCAUCAUCUAAGGAAAGCGUAACAGCUCACUAAUUAACACCAAUGGCUUUGUUUAAAAUGUAACGGGACUAAGCUCAGUACCGAAGCCAAGGGCAAUGCCAGUCGAGCAUUGCGGUAGCAGAGCGUUCCGUAGGCCAAAGAAGGCAUCCUGUGAGGGAUGCUGGAGGCUUCGGAAGUGAGAAUGUUGACAUGAGUAACGAUAAUGAAAGUAAGAAUCUUUCUCGCCGAAAGAUCAAGGUUUCCUGUUUAAAGUUGAUCUAAGCAGGGUUAGCCGGACCCUUAGGCCAAGCGGAAACGCAUAACCGAUGGCAAUCACGUUAAUAUUCGUGAGCCUUCUACAAGUGACUUAAUUUUGAGUUGUGUUAUAUCUUACUGGCUUGAUAAUAGCAUACUCAGGUUAACAGGAAAGAGCUUGUAGAUAUAAGUCCGUACCAGAAACCGACACAGGUGGUCGGGUAGAGUAUACUAAGGCGUUUGAGAUAAUUGUGCUGAAGGAACUCAGCAAACUACAUGCGUAACUUCGGGAGAAGCAUGGCCUGAUCUGGGCAACCAGAUCCAGGCGUAACACAACUAGGGGAAGCGACUGUUUAUCAAAAACACAGGACUCUGCGAAAUCGUAAGAUGAGGUAUAGAGUCUGACGCCUGCCCAGUGCUGGCAAGCGAAAGCUUGGAUGUUUGAAAAGCAUCCAGCCAAAGCCCCAGUAAACGGCGGCCGUAACUAUAACGGUCCAAAGGUAGCGAAACCCCUUGUCGGGUAAGUUCCGACCAGCAUGAAUGGCGUAACGACUCCCCCGCUGUCUCCAGCACAAGCUCAGUGAAAUUGAAAUCCCCGUGAAGAUGCGGGGAUCCUGCGGCAAGACGGAAAGACCCCGUGCACCUUUACUGCAACCCUGCAUUGAUGUCCCCUUGAUCGAAGGUACAGAGUAGAUGGCAAGCAAUGAAUAUUGGGCUCCAGCCCAAUCCAAGCUAUCAAUGAAACACCAUCCCUUCAUCAAACAACAUCUCACUGCUCUUUAGCCAAUCUUCAAGCAAGACAUUGCAAGGUGGGUAGUUUGACUGGGACGGUCGCCUCCUAAAGAGUAACGGAGGCGUGCAUAUGGUAGGCUCAUAACGUUUGGAAAGCGUUAGCAGAGUAUAAUGGCAUAAGCCUGCUUAGACUGCGAGACAGACAUGUCGAGCAGAGACGAAAGUCGGUCAUAGUGAUCCGAUGGCCCCAAGUGGAAGGGCCAUCGCUUAACGGACAAAGGUACGCCGGGGAUAACAGGCUAAUAGCCCCCAAGAGACCUUAUCGACGGGGCUGCUUGGCACCUCGAUGUCGACUCAUCGCAUCCUGGGGCAGAACAAGGUCCCAAGGGUAUGGCUGUUCGCCAUUUAAAGCGGUACGUGAGUUGGGUUCAGAACGUCGCAAGACAGUUCGGUCCCUAUCUACCGCA